Molecule: ribosomal RNA, 397 nt
Filed under: uncultured bacterium
Lineage: Bacteria
Description: partial 16S ribosomal RNA
Rfam family: Bacterial small subunit ribosomal RNA
Source: RNAcentral
AUACGUAGGGGGCGAGCGUUGUCCGGAAUGAUUGGGCGUAAAGGGCGCGUAGGCGGCCCGGUAAGUCUGGAGUGAAAGUCCUGUUUUUAAGAUGGGAAUUGCUUUGGAUACUGUCGGGCUUGAGUGCAGGAGAGGUAAGUGGAAUUCCCAGUGUAGCGGUGAAAUGCGUAGAGAUUGGGAGGAACACCAGUGGCGAAGGUGACUUACUGGACUGUAACUGACGCUGAGGCGCGAAAGUGUGGGGAGCAAACAGGAUUAGAUACCCUGGUAGUCCACACUGUAAACGAUGAAUGCUAGGUGUAGGGGGUAUCGACCCCUUCUGUGCCGCAGUCAACACAAUAAGCAUUCCGCCUGGGGAGUACGGCCGCAAGGUUGAAACUCAAAUGAAUUGACGGGG